RNAcentral lists this ribosomal RNA (505 nucleotides) under uncultured bacterium. Its description in RNAcentral is "bacterial SSU rRNA". It matches the Rfam family "Bacterial small subunit ribosomal RNA", at positions 18 to 518 of the family's 1533-position model. The record is from RNAcentral.
CUUGGUUCAGGAUGAACGCUAGCGACAGGCCUAACACAUGCAAGUCAGGGGCAGCACAAGGAGCAAUCUGAGGUGGCGACCGGCGCACGGGUGAGUAACACGUAUGCAACCUGCCUGUAAGCGGGGAAUAACCCGUUGAAAGACGGACUAAUACCGCAUAAUACUAAAUUACUGCAUGGUAAUUUAUUUAAACAUUUAUGGCUUACAGAUGGGCAUGCGCAUGAUUAGCUAGUUGGAGAGGUAACGGCUCCCCAAGGCAACGAUCAUUAGGGGUUCUGAGAGGAAGGUCCCCCACACUGGUACUGAGACACGGACCAGACUCCUACGGGAGGCAGCAGUGAGGAAUAUUGGUCAAUGGACGAGAGUCUGAACCAGCCAAGUCGCGUGCAGGAAGAAUGUCCCUAUGGAUUGUAAACUGCUUUUGCAGGGGAAUAAAGUGCAUCACGUGUGAUGUUUUGUAUGUACUCUGCGAAUAAGGAUCGGCUAACUCCGUGCCAGCCGCGGC